ACUCCUACGGGAGGCAGCAGUGGGGAAUAUUGCACAAUGGGCGCAAGCCUGAUGCAGCCAUGCCGCGUGUGUGAAGAAGGCCUCGGUUGUAAAGCACUUUCAGUCGUGAGGAAGGUAGUGUAGUUAAUAGCUGCAUUAUUUGACGUUAGCGACAGAAGAAGCACCGGCUAACUCCGUGCCAGCAGCCGCGGUAAUACGGAGGGGUGCGAGCGUUAAUCGGAAUUACUGGGCGUAAAGCGCAUGCAGGUGGUUUGUUAAGUCAGAUGUGAAAGCCCGGGGCUCAACCUCGGAAUAGCAUUUGAAACUGGCAGACUAGAGUACUGUAGAGGGGGUAGAAUUUCAGGUGUAGCGGUGAAAUGCGUAGAGAUCUGAAGGAAUACCGGUGGCGAAGGCGGCCCCCUGGACAGAUACUGACACUCAGAUGCGAAAGCGUGGGGAGCAAACAGGAUUAGAUACCCUGGUAGGAUAGCG
This 471-nucleotide ribosomal RNA is filed under the name uncultured bacterium. RNAcentral's name for it is "bacterial SSU rRNA". It matches the Rfam family "Bacterial small subunit ribosomal RNA", at positions 335 to 799 of the family's 1533-position model. The record is from RNAcentral.